GGCGAAAAUGAGGUGGACCGAGAAAAUUAUUAGCAAAAGAGAGAAUCGUUUCAGACAAGGUCACCUUCCUUUGGGGGACGGCAGGGGUCUCGCAGGCAGACUCCCUCACCAGUGCUGACCAGUGCUGAAGUGUGGGCCGUCUCAUUUAAGGAAACCUCCCGAUUCUUUAGUGCUAUGUGAAUAUAUAAACCAACAUUCAGAUAAAAAUUGAAGAGGAGUUUCAGCAUCCUUUCCUUAUCCUAAUUCAAGUCAUCAAUAAAAGUGCUGAACAGAUCAGCGCUGGACGGAGUCCCCUAUCAGAAAAUGUAGAUAUCACUCACGGUGGAAAUCGACCCAGCAGCUUUGGAAAAUGGCAGAUAAAUUAAAAUGCAAAGUCAUUAAAGAGUAUUGAGUCCACAUUUCAUCGUUUUGCCGGUUCAAAUGAAAAGUUUUGUCAAAUGUCUUGGUAAAACUCAAGUAGCCACAUGUUUCAGGAGUGAACUUUCAAAAGGGCCAAGGCAGCCCUUCUAUCAGGCUAGUAAA
Molecule: long non-coding RNA, 522 nt
Filed under: Equus asinus (donkey)
Lineage: Eukaryota; Metazoa; Chordata; Mammalia; Perissodactyla; Equidae
Description: lncRNA (ENSEASG00005036134.1)
Source: RNAcentral